GCACUCGCGCCUCCCCCGCCUCGCCUCUCUCUCUCCCGCGCCUCCCAGCCCCGCCGCCGUCGUCUUCUCGCCCAGCCGGCCGCCGCCGCACGAUGCAGCGCCCAGAUCCACGGCGGGAUCGACGCGGCGUCGUUGACCUGAGCCACUACCGUCGUCGAGGUCCUCCCACCCCCUCUCGCCGUCGCGCCUUCCCCUCCUCCUCGUCCUCUCGCUGCUCAGCAGGAGGAGCACGGCUCGCCGCCGGUUCUCACACGCCGCUUCCCUCCUCCGCCCCUCCCUCGAGCCGCUCCUCACCCACCCACCACGGUCACCUCUCCUCCGACCACGCCGCCGUGCUGCGCGACGCCGAGUGGGCGCCCGCCCUCCCCGUCCCGCGACGGCCGAGAUCCAGUUCGUCGCCAUCGGCCUGAGAAGCGCUUGGGCCGCUGCUCCCCAUCGAGCCUGCGUGUGCGACGCAUCUGAUGGCCAACACAGCCGUGUACAACUCUGCUGCCUCCAGCUCGAGCGCCCAUCUCCACUAUGUCCAGGUUGCCGCUGUCGCGGAGUUGGAUGAGGUCAUGGCUUAGUUGACGAGGUCAACAACUAAUAGAGGGCAAAGUUAAGCAAAUUGUUGGCUCUACUCUCCGGGAUGCAUCGAAUGAUGGCACGACACGGGUGACAAAAGUCUCCAUCAGAAUUUGCAAAUAUUUACAAAGA
Molecule: long non-coding RNA, 696 nt
Organism: Triticum aestivum (bread wheat)
Lineage: Eukaryota; Viridiplantae; Streptophyta; Magnoliopsida; Poales; Poaceae
Exons: 3
Source: RefSeq, a predicted model, not a curated record